GACAACUCAGAAGACAACUCGACCUCAUAAGCUACCUUACCAACACGGCUAAGAAUUUUGUAAGGACCAACAUAACAGGGACUAAGCUUCCCCUUCUUUCCAAAUCUCUUCACCCCCCUCAUGGGUGAAAUUUUCAGAUACACUAGGUCACCAACUUCAAACUCAAGGUCUCUUCUUCUAACAUCCGUAUAUGACUUCUGAUGACUCUG
Molecule: long non-coding RNA, 209 nt
Filed under: Capsicum annuum
Lineage: Eukaryota; Viridiplantae; Streptophyta; Magnoliopsida; Solanales; Solanaceae
Description: long non-coding RNA (CANN_LNC012873)
Source: RNAcentral